RNAcentral lists this small RNA (127 nucleotides) under Marmota monax (woodchuck). Lineage: Eukaryota; Metazoa; Chordata; Mammalia; Rodentia; Sciuridae. The record is from RNAcentral.
GCUGGGUGUGGUGGUGCACACCUGUAAUCCCAGCCUCAGGGGAGGCUGAGGCAGGAGGAUCGCAAGUUCAAAGCCAGCCUUAGCAACUUGGCAAGGCCCUCAACAACUUAGCGUGACCCUGUCUCUA